This 497-nucleotide ribosomal RNA is filed under the name uncultured bacterium. Its description in RNAcentral is "partial 16S ribosomal RNA". It matches the Rfam family "Bacterial small subunit ribosomal RNA", at positions 28 to 507 of the family's 1533-position model. The record is from RNAcentral.
GAUGAACGCUGGCGGCGUGCCUAAUACAUGCAAGUCGAGCGAACAGACGAGGAGCUUGCUCCUCUGACGUUAGCGGCGGACGGGUGAGUAACACGUGGAUAACCUACCUAUAAGACUGGGAUAACUUCGGGAAACCGGAGCUAAUACCGGAUAAUAUAUUGAACCGCAUGGUUCAAUAGUGAAAGACGGUUUUGCUGUCACUUAUAGAUGGAUCCGCGCCGCAUUAGCUAGUUGGUAAGGUAACGGCUUACCAAGGCGACGAUGCGUAGCCGACCUGAGAGGGUGAUCGGCCACACUGGAACUGAGACACGGUCCAAACUCCUACGGGAGGCAGCAGUAGGGAAUCUUCCGCAAUGGGCGAAAGCCUGACGGAGCAACGCCGCGUGAGUGAUGAAGGUCUUCGGAUCGUAAAACUCUGUUAUUAGGGAAGAACAAGUGUGUAAGUAACUAUGCGCGUCUUGACGGUACCUAAUCAGAAAGCCACGGCUAACUACGUG